Molecule: small RNA, 1056 nt
Filed under: Pongo abelii (Sumatran orangutan)
Lineage: Eukaryota; Metazoa; Chordata; Mammalia; Primates; Hominidae
Description: processed transcript
Source: RNAcentral
CCAGGCCAGGCUGCACUGCUGGGACCGGGGCCAUGUCUCCCCACCCCACCGCCCUCCUGGGCCUAGCAAGAAGGAUUACACUGAGAUAGUGAUGUCGAGUAGCGUUGGCUUGGUCGUUAUGAAAUGCUGAAUGCCCCCCAGCUCCAUCGAGCCCCCUUUUGAUAGCAGCCCCAUAAGGAGACUGGGUGGUGGGCAUUUUUCUCACUGGAGCUUCUCUUCCAGUGCUCUGCCUGGCCCAGACAAUCCACACGCAGGAGGGGGCCCUGCCCAGACCCUCCAUCUCGGCUGAGCCAGGCACCACGAUCCCCCCGGGAAGCCGUGUGACUUUCGUGUGCCGGGGCCCGGCUGGGGUUCAAACAUUCCGCCUGGAGAGGGAGAGUAGAUCCAAGUACAAUGAUACUAAUGACGUGUCUCAAGCUAGUUCAUCUGAGUCAGAGGCCAGAUUCCGCAUUGACUCAAAACCUCUGGAGGCCCGGACUCUCCCGACACAGAGCUCGGCUCCUCAGCUGGUCAGUAGCAGGGCCCUCAGCCGGAAGGGAUUACAGGGGGAUCUGUGCUGGGGAUGCUGCUCUGGGUCCAGCCCUCUGCCCUGGGCUUGGAGUCAAGGUCUAGGGAGGCCACGGGAAGGCACUGUCACCUGCUCAGCUCUGGGAGGUCGCUAAUGCUCGUAGAGACCAUAGCAACAAUGGACCCAUGCAGAGGCCGUCGGACAACAGUCACAAUGAGCAUGCACCUGCUUCUCAAGGCCUGAGUGCUGAGCAUCUUUAUAUUCUCAUCGGGGUCUCAGUGGUCUUCCUCUUCUGUCUCCUCCUGGUCCUCUUCUUCCUCCGUCGCCAGAAUCAGAUAAAGCAGGGGCCCCCCAGAAGCAAGGACAAGGAGCAGAAGCCACAGCAGAGGCCUGACCUGGCUGUUGAUGUUCUAGAGAGGACAGCAGACAAGACCACAGUCAGUGGACUUCCUGAGAAGGACAGAGAGACGGACACCUCGGCCCUGGCUGCAGGGAGUUCCCAGGAGGUGACGUAUGCUCAGCUGGACCACUGGGCCCUCACACAGAGG